GUGAACUUCCAAUCUAAAUUAGAAAUGAGCUUUUUGAAAGUUGAAAAAAAAAAAAACAUCUAAAUAAAUGUAAAGUCUGGCCGUGAGCUUUUCCCAUCAAUCACCGAAAACCUUAUAAGCUACCAUAUGCACUCCAAAAGCAAAAAAAAUAUGAAAAUGUGAUAAAAGAGUCCCCUGCCCGAGAGCUCCCCAAAAUCAACGUGGAACAUUAAUAAGAAAUCUAGUUCUUCUUACUUUUCUUUUCCC
RNAcentral lists this long non-coding RNA (246 nucleotides) under Vigna radiata. RNAcentral's name for it is "long non-coding RNA (VRAD_LNC018299)". The record is from RNAcentral. Lineage: Eukaryota; Viridiplantae; Streptophyta; Magnoliopsida; Fabales; Fabaceae.